This is a long non-coding RNA of Oreochromis aureus, 1137 nucleotides long. NCBI's taxonomy places the organism in Eukaryota, Metazoa, Chordata, Actinopteri, Cichliformes, Cichlidae. The record is from Ensembl.
CUCGCAGUAGCACAGGAACAGAGGCGGAGGGAGAGAGAGGGAAAGAGAGCCAGGGACAACGUCACAUUAGAAAGAUCACAGACCCAACAGCAGCAGCAACAAGAAGCAAACCAAAAAACGUCAAUGCAACAGUUCCUCCUGUCCGACCUGCAGACUACCAGCCAGAAAGACAACAGCUGGAGAAACAUCUGUCUACCUCUGACAUCCACCAGCUCAUCCAUACAGCAAACAAACAUCAACAACCAAGAAGCAGCUUCACCUCUGAUCACACACACACUCAACUCUACUCACUCACCUGGAUCAACUCUCAGAUCCACCCGGUUCUUAAAAGAUGGAUGCUGCUCAUCAAGAUCAAUUGUGGUACAAAAGGACAUUUUCAUCUUCCAGGUUUCCACUUCAUCAGACAUCACUUAGACACAGAGCUGGAUGAGGCCAGCACAAACAGCAGCCUAUUCGACAAAGAUGAUGGAUCCAUGGGGUCAGGAAAGCCAGAAGCAGGGGAGCUGGAGAGGUACCUUUCAUGUCCAUUCACAGGAUGUGUGGCUCUAUUGCAUGUCUUUCCUCACAUCAAGAAGCUGUCGAUCAAAGUCAAUACAGCUCUUUCUGCAUUUGGAGCUUGUGAAGGACCUCUUAGUCAUGCAGGACUCCUGUUCACUGCAAAACAGUUACAGCUUCACAGAAAGAACCUCGAGAGCAAACUGCUGCUGAAGCUUAACCAUCACUUCACUGAGUGAAGAAAUAGCAUAUUUUUGCUAAAUAUGCAAAAAUAGAUGCACACAUGUACAACUUAUGGUAAACUGAGCUGCCUUGUAUGUACAUAUGUUGAAGAUGCCUCGUUCUAAUGUUUUCUCUGAGGCUGCUAUGCCAUUUGGAGCAAAAAUGAAUAUAAAGUUUACAGCAUAUCUUGUCACUGGAAAUUGUUUGCAACAUUUAUAUAUUCAUAUUAUUUACUGUAGGUAUUGGUGAAAAAAGUUUUAUGUUGUGAAAAACCGAAAUAUGGAAAUUAGAAUUGCUGUGCCUUAUUUUGUUGAUGUUUUUACAUAUAUUCCUUUUGAAAAUAAUACAAUUUGUAUAUUUAUUUAUUUUUGUUUGUCUGAUAGCAUUUAUUUAUAAAAGAAUCGGACAUUUUAAACAGUU